CAUAGAAAAUUGGCAGCACAGUUCCUUUUGCUUCCAUGCAUUCAAGAAUUCUCACUAGUUCAUCCAAGCACCAUGUUGACGAUGCAUAAUUUUGUGAGAUAACAAUGAGAGCAAAUCUCAAUUCUUCAAUUGCAGCAAAAAGUGCUGGAGAAAUAGCUUCCCCUUUUUGAAGUUCAGGAUCGUCCCUGAAAGUUAU
Long non-coding RNA from Rosa chinensis, 196 nucleotides. RefSeq lists it as uncharacterized. The transcript is spliced from 3 exons. Lineage: Eukaryota; Viridiplantae; Streptophyta; Magnoliopsida; Rosales; Rosaceae. The record is from RefSeq and is a predicted model, not a curated record.